CUCCCAUCUCAUCCCGUUUGGGCUGGCAUUGCUAAAACCAGCCUCAUUCUGUUGGUGUUCAGCACUUAGUAGCUUAGCAACAAUGAGGAUAUCAAGUUGCCAGAGGUGGACAGACUGAGCAGCAGUGGGCAGAGCAGUUUAAUCUCACUGAUGCAGAAGUCACUCCUGAGAUGCACUACUCCAUUGGAAUGUAGGGAAAACUGUGGUAUAUGAUGGACCUGAAGUGAGUCACCCUUACAAGAAAAGUGGAGAAAACAUCUCAUACUGUGUUAGGAAAGGAAUGUAGUAUUCUAUACAUGGUAUGAGGUAAUUUUUAUGAAUGCUAGUAUUAUUGGAGA
Molecule: long non-coding RNA, 338 nt
Filed under: Coturnix japonica (Japanese quail)
Lineage: Eukaryota; Metazoa; Chordata; Aves; Galliformes; Phasianidae
Description: lncRNA (ENSCJPG00005009522.1)
Source: RNAcentral